RNAcentral lists this unclassified non-coding RNA (2014 nucleotides) under Penaeus monodon (black tiger shrimp). RNAcentral's name for it is "alpha-(1,3)-fucosyltransferase C-like, transcript variant X1". Lineage: Eukaryota; Metazoa; Arthropoda; Malacostraca; Decapoda; Penaeidae. The record is from RNAcentral.
AUAUAUUACAAAAAAAAGAGAAAAAAAAGACAUUUCGAUAUUAUACAAAGAGAACUAUGACGAUGGGAAAAAAUAACAGCAUAGCAGAUCUAGCGACACCCGGCAGCUUACCUCAAGGGAAGGGCCCGUAGCAGAUGUUUGAACAGUUCAUUUCUUGGUUUCCUUCGCUAAACUUACGUUCUUGCGCUUUCGUGAACAGAUACGAGAUCAUAAGUGGUUUAAAGGGGUUUAUUUAUUUUCUUCGUUUGGGUGUGAUAAGUGUGUUUGUGCUGUGGUUACGUGAUUUUAUAUAUGUAUUUAAAGAUGUUCAUGUUGUAGACGUGUGUAUUGGUAGUAAUGUUACGUAAGUUAUUAUCAUAUGUACUAACAUUUAAGCAUUUUUCUAUAGUAUGAAAUUAAAAUAACAGUAGAAAAAAAGAAAAACGUUUUUAAUUAAUCAUUAAGUAUAUACAUACGCGUGUAUUCCUCGAAAUAAAAAGAUUACUUGACGAAAAAAAAAAAAAAAAAAAAUGUCUUUUUCACCGUAAGUCCGGGUUUAAUAGUAAAAUUACACUGAACAUUGAACCACCUUCUUACCAAACCUUCGCUCUUCUCUCCUUUCCCUUUUGUCUUUAUUUUGCGAUUUUCUCUUAUAUUUCUCUUUAUCCUCUCUUUCCUCUCUCUCUCUCUAUCUAUCUAUCUAUCUUUAUCCUUCUCCCACAUUUUUUUUUUCUAUUUUUGUCCUUUUUAUUUUGCAUUUACGUCUUCCACGUCUUGUUAUUAGUUACGUUAUUGCAUUAUUUCUCUUCCACUGUUACUCAUUCUCCCCUUCGCCUCCCAUUUAUCACUUCACGCUUGCUUCUCUACUCCCGUUAUUAUUCCUUAAGACCGAAGAUAUACAUAGUCGUGUGUGGGCGGAGAAUAGCGCUUCGGAAACCACAAUGAUGCAGCAUUCGAGCAGUUUACCGUUGUUCUACGGAUGCCUGGUCCUGUUCACCAUCUUCGUCGUGUUCUUCGAGGAACACGAAGAACAGACCUUUCACAUGAUGGAUUACACUUCAGACGCCAGUGGAGGUUUCAGGUCGCCAAAAAUAUGGGAUGAAUCACUGCAAGAAAAUGACAAGACCGGUAAUGAAACGAUAAAAAAACCCCUUACCUGUUAGUGAAGGAGGCCCAAGGAAAGACGCUGCUCCUGCCGUUUACUUGGAAGAAAUGCCUAAGGAAUUUUGUUUUCCUGAAGAAGGCUUAGAUCUUCGUAAUCCGAAGAUGAAGAAGAUUCUAAUUUGGAAUUCAGGUUACGGUACCAAAACAAUGAGCUUUGGCUACGGUCGCGCGCCUUUCCAAAGAGCCAAGUGCGAGGAGGAUCACUGUAUGACGACCAGCAAUGCCACCCUCCUGCCAUCUGUCAAGGAUUUCGAUGCUGUCAUAUUCCACUUCAGGGCGACGGAGAGGUUACAGAUGCCGAGGAGGAGGUCUCCUCAUCAACGCUGGAUUUUCGAGGAAGUUGAAUCAUCUUCAUACAUUUACCAGGAUCCUGCAAUAUACAACAGUCUGUUCAACUGGACGAUGACUUAUAGAAGGGAUUCUGAUAUCGUUUAUACCUACGGCCGCGUGUAUCCCCUCUUCCACGCCGUCGUCAGUUGCAAAAGGCAAGAAUUUCGCGGAAGGAAAGACAAAGAUGGCGGCCUGGUUCGUGUCCAAUUGCUAUUCUCACUCCAAGCGAGAGAGAAUUGUGAAGGGCUUGCAGAAGUAUAUCAAGGUGGACAUUUACGGAAAAUGUGGACCACUAGAAUGUCCCCGUGCAAGUACUCGCCUGUGUUACCAGAUGCUCGAGAAGAAUUACAAGUUUUAUCUUUCGUUUGAGAACUCUCUCUGCAAGGAUUACGUGACAGAAAAGCUGUUCUCUGUUCUCAAAUACAACGUUGUCCCUGUGGUAUACGGUCUCGCUAACUACGCCCUAAUUGCCCCUCCCGGUUCUUAUAUCGACGCCCUGAGCUUCCCUUCGGUGGAAAGUCUGGCCAAGUACUUGAAAUAC